Colletotrichum higginsianum is the source of this 87-nucleotide non-coding RNA. The record is from Rfam. NCBI's taxonomy places the organism in Eukaryota, Fungi, Ascomycota, Sordariomycetes, Glomerellales, Glomerellaceae.
UCCGAUAUGGUGUAGUGGCCAACAUGAUGCCCUCUCAUCUCUUUGAGAGGUUAGGCAUAGCCCCGAGUUCGAUUCUCGGUUUCGGAA